GUGCUUCUUGGAAUCAGCCCUAGACCAAACACAUUUAGUUAUUCCGAGUUAAAAGCUGCCACCGAAGACUUUAAUCCUUCAAACAAGUUAGGAGAAGGGGGGUUCGGACCUGUGUACAAGAUGGGAAAGUUGUAGCUGUAAAACAACUUUCAGUAGCAUCAAACCAGGGGAAAGAUCAGUUUGUUACUGAGAUAGCUACCAUAUCAGCAGUACAACAUCGUAAUCUUGUCAAACUAUACGGGUGCUGCAUCGGAGGAAAUAGGCGCCUCCUUGUUUACGAGUAUCUUGUGAACAAAAGCCUUGAUCAUGCACUUUGGGG
Gossypium raimondii (Peruvian cotton) is the source of this 319-nucleotide RNA transcript. RefSeq lists it as uncharacterized. The transcript is spliced from 2 exons. The record is from RefSeq and is a predicted model, not a curated record. NCBI's taxonomy places the organism in Eukaryota, Viridiplantae, Streptophyta, Magnoliopsida, Malvales, Malvaceae.